GACGAACGCUGGCGGCGUGCCUAAUACAUGCAAGUAGAACGCUGAAGAGAGGAGCUUGCCCUUCUUGGAUGAGUUGCGAACGGGUGAGUAACGCGUAGGUAACCUGCCUUGUAGCGGGGGAUAACUAUUGGAAACGAUAGCUAAUACCGCAUAACAAUGGAUGACACAUGUCAUUUAUUUGAAAGGGGCAAUUGCUCCACUACAAGAUGUACCUGCGUUGUAUUAGCUAGUAGGUGAGGUAAUGGCUCACCUAGGCGACGAUACAUAGCCGGCCUGGGAGGGUGAACCGCCAAAACUGGAACGGGACACGGCCCAGGCCCCCAAGGGGGGGAGCAGGAGGGAAACUUCGGCAAUGGGGGCAACCCUGACCGAGCAACGCCGGGUGGGUGAAGGAGGGUUUCGGAUUGGAAAACUCUGUUGUAAGGGAAGAAAGGGGGUGAGAGUAGAAAGUGCACACAGUGACGGUAGCUUACCAGAAAGGGACGGCUAACUACGUG
This 497-nucleotide ribosomal RNA is filed under the name uncultured bacterium. RNAcentral's name for it is "partial 16S ribosomal RNA". It matches the Rfam family "Bacterial small subunit ribosomal RNA", at positions 28 to 507 of the family's 1533-position model. The record is from RNAcentral.